Molecule: ribosomal RNA, 446 nt
Filed under: Holopedium amazonicum
Lineage: Eukaryota; Metazoa; Arthropoda; Branchiopoda; Diplostraca; Holopediidae
Description: SSU rRNA
Rfam family: Eukaryotic small subunit ribosomal RNA
Source: RNAcentral
GACAGAUUGAGAGCUCUUUCUUGAUUCGGUGGGUGGUGGUGCAUGGCCGUUCUUAGUUGGUGGAGCGAUUUGUCUGGUUAAUUCCGAUAACGAACGAGACUCUAGCCUGCUAAAUAGGUGGCGGGUUUACAAAUGUUUGAGGGGAGUUCAGCUUGGGGAUCAGGAGUCGGUUGGGGGCGGGACGUCUGCGUCGUUUGUCCGCCGUCAAAAGCGGGCCGGCGGCCGGUCGUCUCUCUCCUCGCCGGCUCCCCUCUCGUCUGUCUCUCCUCGCGUCCGUCACAGCUCUUCUUAGAGGGACAAGCGGCGUUUAGCCGCGUGACAGUGAGCAAUAACAGGUCUGUGAUGCCCUUAGAUGUCCUGGGCCGCACGCGCGCUACACUGAAGGAAUCAGCGUGUUUUUCUCCCCCUGUCCGAAAGGACCGGGUAACCGCUGAACCUCCUUCGUG